AUUGAACGCUGGCGGCAUGCCUUACACAUGCAAGUCGAACGGCAGCGCGGGGCAACCUGGCGGCGAGUGGCGAACGGGUGAGUAAUAUAUCGGAACGUACCCUGGAGUGGGGGAUAACGUAGCGAAAGUUACGCUAAUACCGCAUACGAUCUAAGGAUGAAAGUGGGGGAUCGCAAGACCUCAUGCUCCUGGAGCGGCCGAUAUCUGAUUAGCUAGUUGGGGGGUAAAGGCCUACCAAGGCAUCGAUCAGUAGCUGGUCUGAGAGGACGACCAGCCACACUGGAACUGAGACACGGUCCAGACUCCUACGGGAGGCAGCAGUGGGGAAUUUUGGACAAUGGGCGAAAGCCUGAUCCAGCAAUGCCGCGUGAGUGAAGAAGGCCUUC
This 386-nucleotide ribosomal RNA is filed under the name uncultured bacterium. RNAcentral's name for it is "bacterial SSU rRNA". It matches the Rfam family "Bacterial small subunit ribosomal RNA", at positions 30 to 419 of the family's 1533-position model. The record is from RNAcentral.